Molecule: long non-coding RNA, 400 nt
Organism: Rhincodon typus (whale shark)
Lineage: Eukaryota; Metazoa; Chordata; Chondrichthyes; Orectolobiformes; Rhincodontidae
Exons: 4
Source: RefSeq, a predicted model, not a curated record
CAACAUUAAAGACAUUCAUUCAGUUCUGGAAGUGACAGUUUACGAUGAGGACCGGGAUCGAAGUGCAGAUUUCCUGGGCAAAGUUGCCAUACCUUUGCUAAAUAUUCAAAAUGGUGAACAGAAAGCCUACGUUUUGAAAAACAAGAAUCUGACAGGGGCAACAAAGGGGGUCAUCUAUCUUGAAAUGGAUGUGAUUUUUAAUGUUAUAAGAGCAAGCAUCAGAACAAUCACUCCCAAAGAAGGGAAAUACAUUGAAGAUGAACAGAAAAUCUCAAAAGAGCUCCUCCAGAAAAACUACUACCGUGUGAGGCGCUGCAUCAUGGUACUGGUAAAUACUGGUCGCUACAUUAACAGCUGCUUUGAAUGGGAAUCACCACAGAGGAGUCUCACUGCUUUCCUG